AACGAACGCUGGCGGCGCGCCUAAUACAUGCAAGUCGAGCGAGAAGACGUAGCAAUACGUUUGUAAAGCGGCGAACGGGUGAGGAAUACAUGGGUAACCUACCCUCGAGUGGGGAAGUAACUAGCCGAAAGGUUAGCUAAUACCGCGUACGCUCCUUGGACUUCGGUUCAGGGAGGGAAAGACGAUACCGUGGGUAGUCGCGCUCUUGGAUGGGCUCAUGUCCUAUCAGCUUGUUGGUGAGGUAACGGCUCACCAAGGCUUCGACGGGUAGGCUGGUCUGAGAGGACGAUCAGCCACACUGGCACUGCGACACGGGCCAGACUCCUACGGGAGGCAGCAGUAAGGAAUAUUGCGCAAUGGGCGAAAGCCUGACGCAGCGACGCCGCGUGCGGGAAGAAGGCCUCGG
This 406-nucleotide ribosomal RNA is filed under the name uncultured bacterium. RNAcentral's name for it is "bacterial SSU rRNA". It matches the Rfam family "Bacterial small subunit ribosomal RNA", at positions 29 to 420 of the family's 1533-position model. The record is from RNAcentral.